This 203-nucleotide ribosomal RNA is filed under the name uncultured bacterium. Its description in RNAcentral is "partial 16S ribosomal RNA". It matches the Rfam family "Bacterial small subunit ribosomal RNA", at positions 524 to 725 of the family's 1533-position model. The record is from RNAcentral.
UACAGAGGUCUCAAGCGUUGUUCGGAUUUAUUGGGCGUAAAGGGCGCGUAGGCGGCGGGGUAAGUCGGGUGUGAAAUCUCAGGGCUCAACCCUGAAACUGCACUUGAUACUGCUCUGCUUGAGGACUGGAGAGGAGACUGGAAUUCACGGUGUAGCAGUGAAAUGCGGUAGAUAUCGUGAGGAAGACCAGUGGCGAAGGCGGG